Molecule: transfer RNA, 66 nt
Filed under: Epopella plicata
Lineage: Eukaryota; Metazoa; Arthropoda; Thecostraca; Balanomorpha; Austrobalanidae
Description: tRNA-Tyr
Rfam family: tRNA
About the family: Transfer RNA (tRNA) molecules are approximately 80 nucleotides in length. Their secondary structure includes four short double-helical elements and three loops (D, anti-codon, and T loops).
Source: RNAcentral
UAAAAGGUGGCUGAGGUUUUAAGCGUUAGAUUGUAAAUCUAAAUACGAGAUUUUUCUCCCUUUUAA